AAUAUAUAGGGGAUAUAUAAUAGUGUUUAUUCACUCCAGAGGCAGGUAUAUUCUUCUCAACUCACAUUUCUAGGGUUCAUCUGGUCAUCAAAGGUCUAAAUCUGUAUACCAUCAAUUGUGAUUCUGAAAUUGCGUGUGCGUAGACGUUUCAUCAGUAAUCUACAAGUCGAUGGUGUCUGUUCAUGUCGGUCUCUAUUCUUAACCUCGGAACCAUUAACCUCGGAACCGUUACAAAUCGAAUUGAUUGAACAUCAUUAAUGAAAGCUUAAUUCUUCAUGCCCACUACAACCACUUUGUUGCAUUCAGUGAUUCUUAUCCUUCAUCAAAGAGGUGAUUCUCAGAUUCUCACUUAUAAAAAGGCUGGGCAUUGUUCUUCCACGGUGGGGUUGCGGUUGCUCAGAUUCUGCGAACUAAGGUUGUUCCGCUCUUCGAACACAUGAUCAAUAGUUUUUUUAAACAGAUCCCGGCUUAAAAUCUACAAAUUUGUGUUUUUUUAGUUUUAAUACUUUCAGUUCAGUUUGUUGAAUAGGUUUUUCGGGCUAAGCUCACUAGAUCUUUUGUUGCAGUUGAUGAAUUAGAUUCCAACAAUCAAAGCAUUGUAUCAAACUGAUCCUGAAACAGAAGCUAUUAGACAUAGUAGAAAGCAAGAUCUGAUGGUUCGACAGGGCAUUAUAUUUCUUAUAACCUUCACCUAUGUCAGUUUUAAUUUUUCCAAUUGGGAAAAUUGAAUUUUUGGAAUGUUUGGCUCAUCGUGAACCAACCUAAUUACCAGGGAAACCAUGACAAUCAUCAUAGUCCAGAACAAGAGAGAACACCAGAAGAUGCUAAAAGGGAAACUUAUAAACAUUAACAAAUGAUUCUUAGUCAAAUGUUGUCUUCCCAAGCCCGAGAAAGAUGUAAGACCCAUCUCAAAUGCUUUGGAGUUCAUCUACUUUUUCUUCUUUUGUUUUUUUAUUUAUUUGAAUUGUAGCUUAAUCCAUGGUAUAUUUUUAACUUUUGCAUUGAGAUUUUGUAAAUUGAGGGUUGAGGGACGUGGCAACAAAUCUGCUGCUGUGAACUAAUCGAGGGACGUGGCAAAUCAGUAGUUUGUGAGGCAGUAAUCAGAGGAGAGAUCAUGAACAAGGUGUUGAAAACGAGUGCUGCUGCUUUUGUGGAACUCAAAAUGCUCAAGAACCUCACGGGCUCUCUGUUGUUGCAGGCUCUCUAGUGAU
This is a long non-coding RNA of Brassica napus (rape), 1211 nucleotides long. RefSeq lists it as uncharacterized. The transcript is spliced from 4 exons. The record is from RefSeq and is a predicted model, not a curated record. NCBI's taxonomy places the organism in Eukaryota, Viridiplantae, Streptophyta, Magnoliopsida, Brassicales, Brassicaceae.